AAAUUGAAGAGUUUGAUCAUGGCUCAGAUUGAACGCUGGCGGCAGGCCUAACACAUGCAAGUCGAACGGUAACAGGAAGCAGCUUGCUGCUUCGCUGACGAGUGGCGGACGGGUGAGUAAUGUCUGGGAAGCUGCCUGAUGGAGGGGGAUAACUACUGGAAACGGUGGCUAAUACCGCAUAACGUCGCAAGACCAAAGAGGGGGACCUUCGGGCCUCUUGCCAUCAGAUGUGCCCAGAUGGGAUUAGCUAGUUGGUGAGGUAACGGCUCACCAA
This 274-nucleotide ribosomal RNA is filed under the name Salmonella enterica. RNAcentral describes it as "partial 16S ribosomal RNA". It matches the Rfam family "Bacterial small subunit ribosomal RNA", at positions 1 to 271 of the family's 1533-position model. The record is from RNAcentral. Lineage: Bacteria; Pseudomonadati; Pseudomonadota; Gammaproteobacteria; Enterobacterales; Enterobacteriaceae.